AUACAGAGGGUGCGAGCGUUAAUCGGAAUUACUGGGCGUAAAGCGCGCGUAGGCGGUUUGGUCAGUCGGAUGUGAAAGCCCCGGGCUUAACCUGGGAAUUGCAUUCGAUACUGCCAGACUAGAAUGUAGGAGAGGGAAGUGGAAUUCAGGGUGUAGCGGUGAAAUGCGUAGAGAUCCUGAGGAACAUCAGUGGCGAAGGCGACUUCCUGGACUAACAUUGACGCUGAGGUGCGAAAGCGUGGGGAGCAAACAGGAUUAGAAACCCCGGUAGUCC
Molecule: ribosomal RNA, 274 nt
Filed under: uncultured bacterium
Lineage: Bacteria
Description: partial 16S ribosomal RNA
Rfam family: Bacterial small subunit ribosomal RNA
Source: RNAcentral